This 63-nucleotide transfer RNA is filed under the name Gunungidia aurantiifasciata. RNAcentral describes it as "tRNA-Arg". The record is from RNAcentral. RNAcentral also lists the same sequence under 1 other name. Lineage: Eukaryota; Metazoa; Arthropoda; Insecta; Hemiptera; Cicadellidae.
UAACAACGAAGUAAAAUUUACAUUUAGUUUCGACCUAAAAAUAAGACUUAAAUCUCAUGUUUU